Molecule: long non-coding RNA, 646 nt
Organism: Stomoxys calcitrans (stable fly)
Lineage: Eukaryota; Metazoa; Arthropoda; Insecta; Diptera; Muscidae
Exons: 3
Source: RefSeq, a predicted model, not a curated record
UCGAACAUAAUCAUAUACGAGUAACAGAAAGUAUUUUGUUACAAAUGAUUGCAAUUUUUUUUGUAUUCUAAAUAGCAAUGCAGAAAUUACAAACAAAGAAACGGCAUUGCAAGAAUAACAAGUGUGAAACCAAAACACAUUAAGAACCUACUGUUAAUGCAAUGGAGAAGUGUCAAACGAAACGUCAAAUAUAAAUUGUGAAGUCGCUCUAAACACCUGCACGCACAUAUCCUUCCGGACGGUUGCCACUAGUUGGGCGCAAUUGAUACACAAGGACACACACAAACUGGGCUGUCUUCGUACGGAAGGUGGCUUACAAAGCGCUUGGUAAGACAACACACUCGGCACAGGCUUCAAUAAAAUUUCUGCUUCAAUACCAGCAGGCGCCACAAGAAAUAUCACCGUUCACAGUCCGAUGGCCUGAUGGUAGCUGGGGAAAGUCUCGCAACUAGCUGAUUUUUUUCCGCAAUAAAAUAUCGCACUUUCCCCCUUUAUAGCUAGGAUGGCCAGUGUUAUUCUUCAAACCACAGGAAUCACUUUCUAUACACAAAAGAAAUGACAAAAUCACAAAUCUACUACAAAUUUUAGGAACCACAGUUCACUCACAUUCAAAUCUGUUCACACAAUACACGAAGAUAAAAAUUAA